Molecule: ribosomal RNA, 296 nt
Filed under: uncultured bacterium
Lineage: Bacteria
Description: partial 16S ribosomal RNA
Rfam family: Bacterial small subunit ribosomal RNA
Source: RNAcentral
CUCGACCUACGGGAGGCAGCAGUAGGGAAUCUUCCACAAUGGGCGAAAGCCUGAUGGAGCAACGCCGCGUGGGUGAAGAAGGUCUUCGGAUCGUAAAACCCUGUUGUUAGAGAAGAAAGUGCGUGAGAGUAACUGUUCACGUUUCGACGGUAUCUAACCAGAAAGCCACGGCUAACUACGUGCCAGCAGCCGCGGUAAUACGUAGGUGGCAAGCGUUAUCCGGAUUUAUUGGGCGUAAAGGGAACGCAGGCGGUCUUUUACGUCUGUUGUGAAAGCCUUCGGCUUAACCGGUGUAG